This 429-nucleotide ribosomal RNA is filed under the name bacterium. Its description in RNAcentral is "partial 16S ribosomal RNA". It matches the Rfam family "Bacterial small subunit ribosomal RNA", at positions 355 to 776 of the family's 1533-position model. The record is from RNAcentral.
UAGGGAAUCUUCCACAAUGGACGCAAGUCUGAUGGAGCAACGCCGCGUGAGUGAAGAAGGUUUUCGGAUCGUAAAGCUCUGUUGUUGGUGAAGAAGGAUAGAGGCAGUAACUGGUCUUUAUUUGACGGUAAUCAACCAGAAAGUCACGGCUAACUACGUGCCAGCAGCCGCGGUAAUACGUAGGUGGCUAGCGUUGUCCGGAUUUAUUGGGCGUAAAGCGAGCGCAGGCGGAAUGAUAAGUCUGAUGUGAAAGCCAACGGCUCAACCGUGGAACUGCAUCGGAAACUGUCAUUCUUGAGUGCAGAAGAGGAGAGUGGAAUUCCAUGUGUAGCGGUGGAAUGCGUAGAUAUAUGGAAGAACACCAGUGGCGAAGGCGGCUCUCUGGUCUGCAACUGACGCUGAGGCUCGAAAGCAUGGGUAGCGAACAGG